AACGAAGUCUUCGGACUUAGUGGCGGACGGGUGAGUAACGCGUAAGAAUCUACCUAUAGGUUCGGGACAACAGUUAGAAAUGACUGCUAAUACCGGAUAUGCCUUCGGGUGAAAGUUUUAAUGCCUGUAGAUGAGCUUGCGUUCGAUUAGCUAGAUGGUGGGGUAACGGCCUACCAUGGCGACGAUCGAUAACUGGUCUGAGAGGAUGACCAGUCACACUGGGACUGAGACACGGCCCAGACUCCUACGGGAGGCAGCAGUGGGGAAUUUUCC
Molecule: ribosomal RNA, 273 nt
Filed under: cyanobacterium enrichment culture clone E_RT_E.3.2_H11-T7
Lineage: Bacteria; Bacillati; Cyanobacteriota
Description: partial 16S ribosomal RNA
Rfam family: Bacterial small subunit ribosomal RNA
Source: RNAcentral